CCCCAGUGGCUCAGCAGUAGAGAAUCUGCCUGCAGUGCAGAAGAUGCAGGUUCAAUCCCUGGACUGGGGA
Molecule: transfer RNA, 70 nt
Filed under: Capra hircus (goat)
Lineage: Eukaryota; Metazoa; Chordata; Mammalia; Artiodactyla; Bovidae
Also listed under: 1 other name
Rfam family: tRNA
About the family: Transfer RNA (tRNA) molecules are approximately 80 nucleotides in length. Their secondary structure includes four short double-helical elements and three loops (D, anti-codon, and T loops).
Source: Rfam by way of RNAcentral